Molecule: ribosomal RNA, 874 nt
Filed under: uncultured bacterium
Lineage: Bacteria
Description: bacterial SSU rRNA
Rfam family: Bacterial small subunit ribosomal RNA
Source: RNAcentral
AACGAACGCUGGCGGCGUGCCUAACACAUGCAAGUCGAGCGAGAAAGUCCCCGCAAGGGGAUGAGUAAAGCGGCGAACGGGUGAGUAACACGUGGGCAACCUUCCCUUCAGUUAGGAAUAACCCCGCGAAAGCGGGGCUAAUACCGGAUGACGUCCUUUGGGGGCAUCCUUGGAGGACCAAAGGGGGCGAGCGUAAGCGGCUCCCGCUGAAGGAUGGGCCUGCGGCUGAUUAGCUAGUUGGUGGGGUAGCGGCCUACCAAGGCGACGAUCAGUAGCCGACCUGAGAGGGUGACCGGCCACACUGGGACUGAGACACGGCCCAGACUCCUACGGGAGGCAGCAGUGGGGAAUAUUGCGCAAUGGGCGAAAGCCUGACGCAGCGACGCCGCGUGGGUGAUGAAGGCCUUCGGGUCGUAAAACCCUGUCGGGUGGAACGAAUCUCCGCCUCGCUAAUACCGAGGUGGCUUGACGGUACCACCGAAGGAAGCCCCGGCUAACUACGUGCCAGCAGCCGCGGUAAUACGUAGGGGGCGAGCGUUGUUCGGAUUUACUGGGCGUAAAGAGCGCGUAGGCGGUUCGAUUAGUCGGAGGUGAAAUCCCUCGGCUUAACCGAGGACCCGCGUCCGAUACUGUCGAACUUGAGUGCAGGAGAGGAGAGCGGAAUUCCCAGUGUAGCGGUGAAAUGCGUAGAUAUUGGGAGAAGCACCGGUGGCGAAGGCGGCUCUCUGGACUGUCACUGACGCUGAGGCGCGAAAGCUAGGGGAGCAAACGGGAUUAGAUACCCCGGUAGUCCUAGCCGUAAACGAUGGGCACUAGGUGUGGGAGGUAUCGACCCCUUCCGUGCCGCAGCUAACGCAUUAAGUGCCCCGCCUGG